This 352-nucleotide unclassified non-coding RNA is filed under the name soil metagenome. RNAcentral describes it as "partial contains 5.8S ribosomal RNA, internal transcribed spacer 2, and large subunit ribosomal RNA". The stretch from base 1 to 120 matches the Rfam family "5.8S ribosomal RNA", at positions 35 to 154 of the family's 154-position model. The record is from RNAcentral.
GAUGAAGAACGUAGCGAAAUGCGAUAAGUAAUGUGAAUUGCAGAAUUCAGUGAAUCAUCGAAUCUUUGAACGCACAUUGCGCCCGCCAGUAUUCUGGCGGGCAUGCCUGUUCGAGCGUCAUUACAACCCUCAGGCCCCCGGGCCUGGCGUUGGGGAUCGGCGGAGCCCCCCGUGGGCACACGCCGUCCCCCAAAUACAGUGGCGGUCCCGCCGCAGCUUCCAUCGCGUAGUAGCUAACACCUCGCGACUGGAGAGCGGCGCGGCAACGCCGUAAAACACCCAACUCUUCUGAAGUUGACCUCGAAUCAGGUAGGAAUACCCGCUGAACUUAAGCAUAUCAAUAAGCGGAGGA